AAUGAACGCUGGCGGCAUGCCUAACACAUGCAAGUCGAACGAAGCCUUCGGGCUUAGUGGCGCACGGGUGCGUAACGCGUGGGAAUCUGCCCUUGGGUUCGGAAUAACAGUUAGAAAUGACUGCUAAUACCGAAUGAUGUCGUAAGACCAAAGAUUUAUCGCCCAGGGAUGGGCCCGCGUAGGAUUAGCUAGUUGGUGUGGUAAAGGCGCACCAAGGCGACGAUCCUUAGCUGGCUGAGAGGAUGAUCAGCCACACUGGGACUGAGACACGGCCCAGACUCCUACGGGAGGCAGCAGUGGGGAAUAUUGGACAAUGGGCGGAAAGCCUGAUCCAGCAAUGCCGCGUGAGUGAUGAAAGGCC
Molecule: ribosomal RNA, 361 nt
Filed under: uncultured bacterium
Lineage: Bacteria
Description: bacterial SSU rRNA
Rfam family: Bacterial small subunit ribosomal RNA
Source: RNAcentral